GAUGAACGCUGGCGGCGUGCCUAACACAUGCAAGUCGAGCGAGACGGUUAUGAAAGAUCCUUCGGGUGAUAGAUUAACUAGAAAGCGGCGGACGGGUGAGUAACGCGUGAGUAACCUGCCCCAUACACAGGGAUAGCCAUUGGAAACGAUGAUUAAUACCUGAUAACACAUAUUUAACACAUGUUAAUUAUGUCAAAGAUUUAUCGGUAUGGGAUGGACUCGCGUCUGAUUAGCUAGUUGGUAAGGUAACGGCUUACCAAGGCGACGAUCAGUAGCCGACCUGAGAGGGUGAUCGGCCACACUGGAACUGAGACACGGUCCAG
This 323-nucleotide ribosomal RNA is filed under the name uncultured bacterium. RNAcentral describes it as "bacterial SSU rRNA". It matches the Rfam family "Bacterial small subunit ribosomal RNA", at positions 28 to 334 of the family's 1533-position model. The record is from RNAcentral.